Molecule: long non-coding RNA, 12651 nt
Filed under: Lynx pardinus (Iberian lynx)
Lineage: Eukaryota; Metazoa; Chordata; Mammalia; Carnivora; Felidae
Source: RNAcentral
CUGAAUGCCAUUUCCAGAGAACAGUGGGAGAAUCACAGCUAUCUUGAAUCUUCAGGCUCUGUUUUGAUGACUUUCUUUUCUAAAGUAAAAGCUGAGUGAGGGUAGUCUUUUAAAAUCCCAAGACUCUCUGCAUAAAAAUGGAAACAGGGUGUGUUGAUACUUUAAAUCAAUGGAUCACAAAAAACAAAUUCAAACAUAUGAAACAAAUCCCCAAAAUCCACAGCAAACAGUAUCAACUAUUCAUAAUUCUGCAAUUCCAUAAAAAUUGUUUAUGGAAUUUAUGUUUUAUGUUUAUAGAGUUUGUGAUUAAGAGCUUCGAUUCUGGAUUUAAAUUCCAUCUCUGCCAAUUACUAGCUGUGUACAUCUCCAAGCAACGUACACACCUCUCUAAGCCUUAGUAUCUUUCUUCAUCUGUAAUAUGGGGAUAGUAUCUAUAUAGGGCGGCAUGAGAGUUAAACGAUGAAAGGCACAAAAAAGCAUUUAACAAAUAGACCAUAUUUUUAUUUAACAUUUGGUUCAACAUGAUAAAAAAAUAUAUGUGAAAUAAAAUGGGUCACACGUAUACAAAGUUACUGGCUAAAAUAUUUAAUCACUAUCAAUGAAAAAAAGAGACAAAAAAAAUCUUCCACAUUUCAACAUAGAACUAUCUUUAAAAGUAUCUCCAGCCAUGACGCAUGAUAGAAGAACGAAGACUACUUUCAUAAGGAACCAUUUCCUGGAGUCAGGUGUGUGCAGUUAUUUCAACCUCACAAAAACAGCAGAGAAUGACAGCAUAGAGCACUGAUAGGAAGCACUAGCACUAAAAGACAAAUAUAUAUGCACACACUUUGAAAAGGAUUCUAGAAAUGUAACCAAUACGAAUAGCUGAUCCGAAAUUAGGCAGUUCAAUUUAUGAACUUACUCUAUGAAAAAGCAGAUCUUAAAUUUAGAAGAGUAUAAUACCAGUAGCUACCAUUUACUGAAUUCCUAUCAGCCAGGCAAUUCUAUAUAUAUAUAUGCUACCAGCCAGACAAUUCUAUAUAUAUGCUACCUGUAGAACACUCAUUAACUCCAUGCGGUAGAAGUGAUACUUGUUUUACAGAUGAAGCAACGGACUUCAAGUGAAGUUACUUUAACUCAAAGGCUGAGUGAUACUACAUAUUUUCAAAUGGUGUUGUUCUCUAAUACUGUGUCGAACUCACUUUUUCUUGGGUGAAAAUAGGUAAACAUCUAACAGUAAUAAGGAAUAACUUUUCCUUUAUGGAGUUCAGUUUACUUCUGAAAUAUAAAUAUCACCCCCAAAAUGCAUCUGUAAGAAAAGUUUAGACUUGGUGUACAGGGUUUUCUUAGUACGAAAAGAAACAUGUAAUCCCUCAAUUUCACAUUAUGAAAGGCUGGAAAAAGGUAAUUACAUAAAUCAGCCACGUAUUAUUUGGUUUUAAAUCUUGUAUAAAAGUAACCAUUCAUGUAAUAGCUAAUCAAAAUAGUAUCAACCUUCAUAAGCUUCUGUCAAUUCUUUGGAAUACCAGUUUCUAAAAAAGAUUGGCUAAUGGGGCACCUGAGUGGCUCAGCCAGUUAAGACCCUAACUCGGGGUCAAGCAUCCUGAGUCAAGCAUCCCAGGGUCAUGAAUUCAAGCCUACUUUAUACAAACAAACAAAAGACUUGCUAUUAUUCGAGCAAUCUAUUAUUUCCAAAAGGAGAAAAACUGACUAGUAACAUUGUUAGUAAAUGACCUUUUUUUUUUUUUUUUUUGGUGGGUGGGGGGUGGACACGGGGUGGGGAGGGGAGUAGGGAAUGACAGUGGAGGGCAGGAAAACAGAAUUUAAAGAUAUUUUAUUCCAGUGUUACUCUAAUAAUAUCCCAUAUUCUUACCUGACUGGGACUUUGCCUCACUGGGAUAAAGUCUACUCAGCUCUCCAUCCACCACAAAAUGAUGGGGUUGUCUGUUCUGUAAAUUAGGCAUUCGGAGAUUCAAAGGUCUUUCUCCUAAUGAAAAGGGGGAAAAAAGCAACAUGAACAAUACUAAAAACACUUUGUGGUUUUUCUUAAAAAUAAGUUUUCACAAAUUGCCUGAACACUCCUUAGGAAAGAAGUAAGGAAGGCCAACAGGCACUGAACAAUUUGAAUAAGAGUUAGAGAAAUAUCUUAAAUGAUAACUUAAGAGGGAAAUGGCGAUUCAUGCUAGUUCCAAGGUUUAUGAAUCUGCCGGGACAUUAAGACUGAAACAUGAACUAAACAAAAGACUGGGAUUUCCAGUAAGCACUCCAGCUUUAGCAUGUAAUACAUCCCCCGAGUAAGGCAUUUUCUUAGCAGUGCAACCAUUUUAUUUACCAAGACAUGUCAUUCACUAUAUAAUAACACUAGAGACAGAGAAGGCUUCAAGCAACUUCCUGUUAACAACAAAGUCUAUGGUAAAUCCAUGAAGACAGAAUUAGCACAGAUAUGGUAAUAACGCUGAAUGCACCAAAUCCUAUUCUCUGUCAUAAUCCUAAAUCCAUCACACAGAGCUGACUGCUACCCCACAGUGCACUGUCCUGGUUUCACAAAUUAAGAGUCACCAAAUCUUUCAUUAAUUUUGCUUUUGCUUCUUAACCCUUUUGAGUCUUAACUGUCAAGGAUGACUUAGAGAAGUUAAACAAGACCUCAACUAUAAAGUUUCCAUAAUAUUUUAAAAAGGAAGAAUGUUCUUCUCCUCCAGUACUCUGAAAUCAGCUGACAUAUUUUACUCUACAUUUGGCGAAUGCUUAUUAAGAUGGUAUUGUUACUGGGGCACCUGGGUGGCUCAGUUGUUAAGCAUCUGACUUUGGCUCUGGUCAUGAUCUCACAGUUCUGAGUUCAAGCCCCUCUUCGGGUGAAGCCCACUUCUCUUUCUUUCUCUGCCCUUCCUGGGAUUCUCUUUCUGCCCCCUCGCUCAUUUGCGCGCGCGCUCUCUCUCUCCAAAAAAAAAAAACAAACAAACAUGGUUCUGUUACUUAGAAAGAAAUCUAGUAUUUUGACAGUAGUAACCACUCUAGAAAACUGUAAUAAUAUGUAAACAAAACAAAAAAGACGGUCCUACAAAAAUUAUUGUUUUUCUUCAGACACAUAUCACUAUUUGAAACUAGUUAUUCUCUUCCUCCACUGCAGCAUAAGCUCCAAGCCAGCAGGGGCUUAACUUCACCAAUGCAUCUUCAGUGCCCAGAAGGAUGCCUGGCGGCACCCAGGAAAUACUAUGAGUAAAUGACAAUGACUUGAGAUUUUCUUCAUGUGUGAAUACAAAAAAAUGAAAAUAAUUUUUAAAAUGAUAAAAAUACUCAUGAAUCAUAGCUUUCUAAACCUAAGUGUCUAAGAGAACAAUCUCCAACAUACCACACAAAAUAUUUUAUAGGGACUGUAGGCCAAUCUAAAGCCUGAGAGAAUACAAAAUUUCUUCAAGUCUCUCCAUUUGUAUACUAUCUCUACAAAUCUCAACUCUCAUCACAGUACUUUAGAAGCAGUUAACCAUAUUCCCUUAGAAACCAAAUGUUAUAAAUUUCAUAGAUAAAUCUGUUUUUGAAGUCUAAAAAAGUAUGAAGUUGUGGUCUUUUAAAUAAUGACAAACGUCUCCCAUGGAAUCAGUUUCUUUGGGGGAAAUGAUCUGUAAUGUUUACAUUUCCCACUCCCACUCACCCUUUACAAAAUACAUGGCAAAUGCAUGUGUCGGCUACUGUUUAGGGAUAAUAAGGUAAAAACCAAACAUACAAACAAAAAAAACCCCAAAAUAAUUACGAGUUACAUUUGCAGGAUGAAUUCCUUCUUUUUAAAAAAGAGACAAUUUACCAAUUAAUUUUUAGACAGAAUAUAUAAAAUAAUCUCUCUAAAAUAUUAAGAUUUAAAAGUAGGCAAACUUUUGUUUCUCUCUGACGUGCACCUAGCAACUGCGCUAGAAGCAUAGGCCACUCUCGAGAGGUACCUUGUCCGUCAGAGCUGUCAGCAGCCAGGCCGUUAGGGCUGUGCUCUUCCGACGUCUGCCUGUACAGCCCUGCGGACAGUCUUCUCUCAGCAUGCUGCAGUCUCUCACAGCCAGCUGGGGCGCAAAGGAACUCGAUCUGCUUUGCCAUCACCUUUUCAGGCUGCUAGUAAGUAAAGCAAAAAUAAAAUCAGUAACUAAAACAUUCUACAUGGUUUUAAUGGUUUAAAGAUGCCAAUUUCAGACUCCAGCAAAUAUAUUUAGUAUUCAUUAAAUUAGUUCGCACUUCAUGUGAUAUACACAUUCCAUAAAUAUGCUUAGAUGUCUAUAUCAUCAUGUUAAAACAUAAAAUGUUGGAUUUUGUGCAAAAGAAAAAAACCUUCCUGCUCAUCCUUGAAAGAGAAUUCCACUUCAGCUCAAAGGCAAAAUAACCUUAGCUUUGUUUCCCAAAGUACUGAGUCCUUUAAAAUAUUUUUUUUAAAAAGGAACCUCAGAGCAACAGCAACAUCUGCUAUAAUCUGCUUCUAACACACAGGGUGACAUCUUGGCAUUUUUUAUUUUAGGAUCUGGCACUACACAUGCUCUGAUAUGAUGACAGUAUGUUUGGGGGAGAAAAGGUGUAAAAUGGCUGUCUAGAAGAACAAGACAAAUACAUCUCCCACCAAAAUCAAACAAUGCAAAUUAUGCAGGAAAAACAUGAGUGCCAACAAGAAUCUUCACCUUGCUCGUGGAAUGAGACUGCGGUAUUUCCCAACCAAUCGUAAAAAGACAUGCUUUAAAAUCACAAUUAAGUUGGCUGACAUACAAAUUAUCUCUGUGUGUGUUUUGUAAGUUUCUUCUUUAUGUAUUGCUUUAAGUUACUUACAUGUGACACUGAAAGCACUGUAUUUAUGUAUUUUGCUAAGCAGGUAAUAAUCAAAAUGCAGACAGGAAUCACUACCAUUCCAUAUGAAACAGUAGCACAAGGAAGCUCCUAUAUAAAAUUAGUUACGAAAAAUCCUGAUUCACAGUAGUAAAAAUCAACAGGUGAAAAAUAUUAAUUCAGAGACUGGGAUAAAAGCUUAUGCUAUUUUUCUGAAUGCACAUAAACCUGAUCAAAAGGAACAGUAAUGUCGAUUCACUGGAGCUUAUUAAUUGAUAAAACUUCAGUAAGAUUUCUAAGGAGGAAAUGGAGUUUUCAUCCUCUGAACAAGACAAAAACAAGACUUGGCACUACUGAAUUUGACCCAAAGCAGUCACUAGGCAGAAGAUCAACAGGAAUAAAACUUCCGGUGUUUUCUAAAAGGUUAAAUUAGACCUUUUAACACCUUUUAGAAAUGUUAAAUUAUAUUUAAAUUAAAUGUUAAUUUUCACAGACAACAAUAAAAUAACUCAAUAGCAAAAGCACCUGAAGCUACACAUUAAUUUAAGGAUUUUUUUUACCAUACACGAAUUGAAAUGAUUUAACAAUAGCUACCAUGGCAAUUGAUGUUGUGUUGAGAACGAGUUCUAGUUUAUCUCAGAGUUGUAUCACACAGCCAUAGUCAACAUGGCUGUUUUCCUGGUACCAAAUUGAGUUUUCUUAGGUAGAGAAUCUGUCUUUCUUCCUACAAAACUACAAAGAAUAAAUAUCACUCUAUCAGAUUCUGCUCAUAACCAAAUCAAACUACGUUGUUGUUGCUAUCUUGUUGAUACAGCUGUGGAUCAGAUGACAUUUAAAAAAGCACUAGAAAGAAAUCCAAUCCCUGGAUGCUUAAAACCGAAGCUAGCUGAAACAGCCAUUUAUUGUUCAUCAACAGACAUUAUUAGGAAAUGUUAACUGGUGGUUUGCGUUACCUGUGAACUAAGAGCAGCAAGUUCUUCACUCUUAGCUUUAGCCUGCUGGAAGAGUGUCUGCACAGAAUCCUGGAAAUCUGGAAAUCCAUCCUAUGGGCCAAAGCAUAAGUCCUUUUUAGUUGGAGUUUGUAAAUAAAAUAUCAGAACUGGGAAGACAGGGCCAAGUAAACAGCUUUAAUCCUACAGUUCAAGUAAUCAUGAUUAAAAUUUUAAUGUAUAAUACUUCACUUCAGACUUUUAUGGUACGAACUUUAUUUCUACAGCUGUAACAUCAGUAAAAAUACAAAUGAAAAAGAGAAAAAGAUUUAUAUGUUUAUACAUUUCACAUAGCAUUUUGUCUAGUGGUUCAACUAGUAAUAUUCACUAUCUUCAUACUGGACAUUCUUUUCUUUUUCUUAUUUUUGGUUUGAAAACCACCACAAAAAUAUUUUCAUGGAAAUAGCAUUUUCCAUAGCUUAGAUUUUCCGAUACAAUAGAUUGCAGAAGUACAAUUACAGCAAAGGGAUGGACAUUUUUAUGAACAUUUUUCUUUCACAUCCUCUACCCAAGGGCCUUCAAUGGUUAAUCUUACCAUAACUUUUCUUUGCCAGCACUGGGCGGUGUUGGCUUCUUAAUUUUUGCCAGUUUGCAUUUUGGUAUCAAUAUUCAAAAAUUUUUAUUACAUUUUAUCUACUGUAGUUGUGUAUACAUUUAUUUUGUAAAUUCUUCUAUCACUAUAAACUUCAGAAAGGCACUCUGCUUUACAGAUUUGAUAAAUACUCAACUCUACCCUCCAGUUUUUCUAAAGCUUUAUCUGUUUGCUUUGUUUUUUAAAUUUAACUCUCUAGUCCAUCAGGAUUUUAUUUUGUUAUAUGUAAUGUUGUAAAGAACCAAUGUAAAUUUCCUUCGAAGUGCUACCCAAUAAUCCCGACUGGAAUUUCAGAAUUCUUCCAUGUUGACUUGUGAUUUCUCCUUCAGCAUUUCAUAUAAGAGGCAAUGGUGAUUUGAAUUCUCAACACCUGCACUCAAGUUCCAAUUCUACCACUUAACACUGGAUGAGUAAUUUAACCUUUCAGAAGGUUAGUUUCCUCAUAUGAAAAAUAAAGAUAAGAGCAACUAUCUGUUAGGGUUGUUGUGAGGAGCAAAUGAGAUACUGCCUUCAGCAUGUAAUCACUGCUAAAUAAGUGUAUCAAUGCAUCCUUAAUUCUUACAUAAAACAGAGCCUACCUCAGGCACUCUACUCCUGGACAAUAUACCAACUUACAUUAUUACCACUGUCCACUUUAUGUAUAUAUAAAAGUGUCAACCUACUACUUUUCUCAGUUAUUUUGUGGGUUUUUUGGUAAUUUAUUGCUCCACAUGAAAUUGUUAUCUACAAAUAUCAUGACAGCAUGGUUUUAGUAACCUUACUAAAAGCUACUAAAGGACUCUUCACAGAAAUGGUCACUGACCUCCAAAACAUUUCUCCCCUUGUUUCAUGAACUAUAUAUUUGUGUAACAAAGGGUAAAUCAUUAAAAACCAAAGUUCUUAUAAUAACAGCAGAAAGAGAUGUGAUAAUAACAAAAUAUUUUAUCUUAUUUGAAAUAACAGAUACGGAUUCAAAAGCUUUUCCCCAACAAGGUCUUAUUUUUCCACUGCAGAACUCAUGUUUUCAAAGAUUUCAUCUACCAAACUUCUUUUCUUAAGUAGUAAUUUACUAUUUUAAAAUUCAAAGACAUGAAAUGAAACGGAGUCAGAAGCAAAUAAAUUUGACAUCUUGAGAUAGUCUCAUGUAGCUUUAUGGUGGGUAAACAUAUAAUCAACAUUUUUAUUUUUUAAUAGUUAUUUAUUUAUUUUGAGAGAAAGAGAGAGAAUGUGAGCAGGGCAGGGGCCCAGGUAGAGAGACAGAGAGAGAGAGAGAGAGACAGACAGACAGACAGAGACAGAGAGGGAAUGCCAAGCAGGCUCCACACUCUGUGUGGAGCCCAAUGUGGGGCUCAAUCUCACAACUGUGAGACCAUGACUUGAGCCAAAAUCAAGAGUAGGACGCUUAACCGACGAGCCACCCAGGCACCGUAGAAUUUUUUUAGUAUUGAAAAAAGCUUCCUGUCUAGGCCCCUACAAGACCAAAGACCCUUGGCUCAGAAGAAUGUAUGGAAUAUAAUCAUUAACAGAGCCAGAAUGAACUUUAUGCAAGUGUAUAUAAUCUAAGUCUAAAUCAAAAGUACACUUUUUUAGCCAUUCAGUUUUUCUCUAAGAACUUAUUUAGACCUAAAAACCUAACUCUCUCUUUUUAGCGAUCUCUCCUUUAAGUUCUGAAGUUCAACAAGGUAAGGUAGUAGAAGACUUGGAAAAGAGAAGCUAUCAUUUUCCAGGUGACUACCAUGUACCACCAAUUCCCAACUAUCAUUUGACCUAUAUUAUCUCAUUUAAUCCCCACCACAAACCACCCUGGGUUUCUCUCAUUUUACAGCUACGGACAUUGACUUCAAAGCCCGUGCUCAAACGAGAAAGUCCUAGACUUACAUACUUAUGAAACUCCUAACAAUAAACAGAGGCACAUCUCUUGGAUUUUCAUAAGCUGAACGGGUUUAACCCUCUGAUUUAUACUGAGUUCCAAAUCCAAUUGUACUACUUAUUUGCUGUGAUACUGGACAGACCAUUUCAUGUUUCUGUGUCUACUCUGCUAACUUUAGAACCAUUUUUUUUUUUAACGUUUAUUUUUUUGAGGCAGAGAGACAGAGCAUGAACAGGGGAGGGGCAGAGAGAGAGGGAGACACAGAAUCUGAAACAAGCUCCAGGCUCUGAGCUGUCAGCACAGAGCCCGAUGCGGGGCUCGAACUCACGUACCGUGAGAUCAUGACCUGAGCUGAAGUCGGACGCUUAACCGACCAAGCCACCCAGGUGCCCCUAGAACCAUUUUAAAGAAGCAAAAAUUGAUAAAGAACACUUAGCACAAUGUUUGGCACACAGAUAUUACCCAACAAAUGUCUGCUACUGAUAUUUAUUAAGUUCCCUUUAAAAGCUACCGGAUUUAACCACAGUAAAAUAGAGAACACGCUGUUAAGUGACUUACUGCAUUUCUAUGAUACAGCAUAGGCAGCUCAGAGAUUACUUACAUACUAGACAUCUUGGGUUUUUAACACUAAAACCAGCAGGACAAUAUUGACCAUACUGGAAGGGAACUGUUCUAGUGGAAAGAACAGUGGAAAUCUGGAAAUACUUGUUUGUUCAUUCAUACAAAAUCUCUUGUUUGCAUAAUAGGUUCUAGACUCGGUACUCGAUGCCUGGACUCCAUGCCUCCUGCCCUUCUAGCAAACAGUCUAGAGAAGGCAAGGACGAAGAGAUCCCGAGCACAGACGCCAUCAGGGAAGGCUUCCCAGAAGGCAUGACAUCUAGGCUGAGACUUGAAAGAAGAGAAGGCUCUAGGGAAAGAGAGUAGCUUAUAUAAAAGCCUGGAGGCAAAAAGAACAGGAGGACACACUUGAGAGGCUGGAGAAUAUUUAACAUAGCUCAGGGAGAAACAUAGCUCUCAGGGAGAAAAUGAACCCGAUCUGUGUUUCUGAAAGUCCAAUCUGAAUGUGAUGGGGGCAAUGUACUGGGGGGGGCAAGGAUGGUGGUAGGGAGACUGGUUAGAAGGCUGUGACCAAGACAGAGAAUAGUGGCCUUACAACAGAGAAACACACGAAUUCCUAAGAUAUGGCUUUGGCAACCAGGAGUUUGGUGGUAACAUUCUCUAAAGUAAUGAAUUCAGCACCAAGAAGGAGGCUUGGGAGGGAGCAGAAGGUUGAUGAAUUCAGUAGGGGACAGGCUACAUCUUACCCUCUGGAGACCUCUGUGUAGGUAAGUUUGCAAGGCAGGUUCACGGAGUUGUGAACUUGGGGCAAGAGUCAGGUUGGAUAACCACACUAGAGAAUUCCAGCUUCUCAACAAGCCCUGGGUGGGGUGUGCCCAGGCCAGAAUCUCCAAUAUUCCGGUAUUUUUAAAGGAACUCACAGAAGAAAGAGUGAUCUAGUCUUCUUAUGUUAAGAACUAGAUGUGUGAUCCCAGGUAGGAAAGUUAACUUCAUUAUUCUUCAAUGGAGAUUUAAACCAUCUGCUUUAUCUGCCCAGUGGAGAUUUGUGGGGAUUCCAUGAAGUAAUGCAAACAGUGACUCUUGGAAAAGCCCACAUUGCUAUACAAACAUACAGUGGCAUCACUGUCAGGAUUAUUCAACCAUGAGAAUUUGGAAAAGCUGGAAGGGGUAACUUCAAACUCUACAUGUAUGCGCAAGUUUUUGGGAAAUGGACACUGCUCCUUCAUUAAUAAAGAGACGUAAAAACAUGCAAUAAUCAAUAAACAACAAUAUCCAAGUAAUGAGUGGUCUGUCUCUGUAAUGAAGACAUUAGUCAUUCUGAUUUUUUCCCACAGUCUUUGAUAGUUCUUUACGGAAAAAUACAGGACUGAGGAGCUAUCACUACAUGAUCUAGGUUUCAGGUACCCAAAAUAUGUGGCUUAGAAAUAAAAGUGAGAACAUUCCCAAGAAACUGGUGUCUUUCAUAUUAUGUUUGGUGCAGGACUUUUGUUAUAUGUCUCUCAAGCUUUUUUCCCAAGAACCAGCUGUACCACGCUAUGAGCAAUUUAUCUUCAUGUCAUAUUCUUGGCUGCUGCCAUUAAUCACAGUGUUCCCUUACUGGUGAGACUCUGAUUCUGAGCACUGAGAAAAUAAAAGACACAGGGUGGGAUGCUGUUCGUGACCUAAUUACUCUCAUCCCAUUGGUCUCCACCCCCAUUCCUCAACUUUCCCACCAAAUACCGGCAAGCUUUAAAGCCACUGCUUAGCUGUCUUUAAAAUGACUUGUUCCAACAGAUGUUCUCAGCCUCACACGUGCAUUUUCCUUUUUUUUUCUACUCACACUUUCUAUAUGAAUAGCAGAUUGUAAUGCUUCUGUUUUUCUGAUCCAGAGGGGAAGAGUCUACAUCAAAUUAGACCAGCUUUCUCUCAAUAGCUUAGUAACAGCGUAGGUGGAUGUUCUGACCCUCUUCCCUCCCCCUGCCUCCCUCUCCCACCCCUACCCCCCUGGAACUGCUAGCAGAUGUUUCCUCUAAGUCUUUCUUCUUCAAAACCCCAAUUCUCUGACUUUCUGGACUCUAUUAACAAACUGCAUUUCUUUCAUGCAGUUAUCUCUGAUUGCUUGGCACUCCCAGCCCACACAGGAUCAAGAAUGCUGUCACCUCCCAUCUCUCUCCCUAGUUUCCAGCAAUGUCAGUGAACGAAGAAAACUUACAGAUGAGAUUGGAACAGUAACCACCAUAUCCUUCCUCUCUUCCAAGACACUACUUACGACACUGAAGGUAAUGACAGGGUUUGUUCUGAGAACAUGUUAUGUUCUUAAUGAAAAAGAAAGGCUAUCAACUGAAAUCUAUUUUAAUUAAUAUUUAAAAAAAAAUUUUUUUUAAUCUUUAUUUUGAGAGAGAGACACAGUGUGAGCAGGGGAGGGGUAGAGAGAGGGGGAGACACAGAAUCCAAGGCAGGCUCCAGGCCCUGAGCUGUCAGCCCAGAGCCCGACGCGGGGCUCGAACCCACAAACUGUGAGAUCAUGACCUGAGCCAAAGUCGGACACCUAACCGACUGAGCCACCCAGGUGCCCCUAAUUAAUAUUUUUUAAAAAUGAGGGAAAGAUAUGAGUGCCAGGGACUUUGGCUGUUGGUUUUUCACCUCCUUUAGUUGUCAAGCUGUCUUAAACACACUGUCAUAGGUACAGUAUACGUAAAUCAAGCUAAUUUUUCUUGAUUUACUCGGUUUAACCUCCUUCCAAAGACAGUGCUUUUCCUCAUGCUAAUAAGCAUUUAGUUUGACAAAUGGUAACGUCUUAUAUUUAAAUACAUUUUGUAAUUUAUGUUGUUAAAUUUUCUACUCAAAACUUAAUUGUUCGGAUAAGCUUCCUUGAAACAGAAAAUGGUAACUGCCACCCUUUCCCCUUUCUUCAAAGACUUCAGUUGCUAUACACGCUUGCUUUUCAUACCAGACUAGCAGGAGAAAAGGUAUAAUUCUAACAGUGUUUUUAUAGCCAAGGUUCAUGAGCACCCAGGAAGGUAGUUCUGCUUUGCAGUUUAGGAGUCAGACCUAGAUUAGGAGCCCUGGCUCUGCCACUAGAUAGCAAUGUGGCAACUUGAGCAAGCUCCUGAGACUUCACGGGUGUCUCCUUGGCUAUACACAGAAAUCAUAAAGCCUCCAUAUAAUGAGAGACAGGAAGGUUUGUGAUCAUGAAUUUCAAAUGCCUAGCAGGGACAGGCAUACAAUACAUUCAGGAAAAAGCAGUUAUUUUUCCAAGUGUCCCAGAGCUUAGGUUUGGGGUUUCUGAUGAAAAAGGAAAGAAUAAACAUAAUUCAUUUUUAUUUUAGCUGAAAGUGGAUUUACACAAAGGGUUGUAUUCCAGGUGGACAAGUUAUUCAUCUAGCCUUGACAGGAGAAAUAUUCCCAAGCCUUGCUUACUAACCUACAGGGUUGAAGAGGUGCCUUCCCUAGAGGCUCCACUGAGUUACCCUACGGCCUCCCCAAGCUAGCAACCUUUUUCCUCUGUGUCCACUUCAUUAUUCUAGGAAUUACAGAAAGAAAGUUCAAGAUCUUUAUGUUGUUUUGUUUUUUUAAUUUUAUUUGAGAGAGAGAACAUGCAAGUGGGGUAGAGGGACAGAAGGAGAGAGAGAAUCUUAAGCAGGCUCCACACUCAGUGUGGGGUGGCCUGACCCGGGGCUCCAUGCCAUGACCCUGGGAUCAUGACCUGAGCUGAAAUCAAGAGUCAGACGCUCAACUAACUGAGCCACUCAGGCGCCCCUAAAAUCUCUAGGUUUUUUAAUGUCAAACUUUCCCUGUAGAAAGGAGUGCUACUUAAGGACAACAGAUUAUGCUGAGUACUUUACUACAAUAUGUAUCCUGUAUUAAACAAAAACAAUCAAAUAAAUAGCUAACUAUCCUUCAAGGGGAACAAC